CCAAUAGCGUAUAUUAAAGUUGUUGCAGUUAAAAAGCUCGUAGUUGAAUUUCGGGGUUAGUAGGUUGGUCAUGCCUCUGGUAUGUACUGGUCUCACUGAUUCCUCCUUCCUGAUGAGCCGUAAUGCCAUUAAUUUGGUGUUGCGGGGAAUUUGGACUGUUACUUUGAAAACAUUAGAGUGUUUAAAGCAAGCCAACGCUUGAAUACAUUAGCAUGGAAUAAUGAAAUAGGACGUUCGAUCCUAUUUUGUUGGUUUCUAGGAUUGACGUAAUGAUUAAUAGGGAUAGGUGGGGGCAUUAGUAUUCAAUUGUCAGAGGUGAAAUUCUUGGAUUUAUUGAAGACUAACUACUGCGAAAGCAUUUGCCAAGGAUGUUUUCAUUAAUCAAGAACGAAAGUUAGGGGAUCGAAGACGAUCAGAUACCGUCGUAGUCUUAACCAUAAACUAUGCCGACUAGGGAUCGGAUGAUGUUAAUUUUUUAAUGACUCAUUCGGCGCCUUACG
Molecule: ribosomal RNA, 500 nt
Filed under: uncultured Glomeromycotina
Lineage: Eukaryota; Fungi; Glomeromycota
Description: partial small subunit ribosomal RNA
Rfam family: Eukaryotic small subunit ribosomal RNA
Source: RNAcentral